AAUAUAUAUUUUCAGAGGUAUACCGGUACCAGUACGUAAAGGCAAUUCCCCAACUGCAACCACCCCGAGGACCGGCGCCACCGCCCGGACAAACACCGCCAAUAAGAAACCGCCUCAACCCGCUAACCGAGUAAUACCUGAGCCAGCUGCGAAGAAACUGAACCCGACGAGGCCGCGCCUCACAACCGAUGCCUUUGCUAAAUACAACACAAAUGCUAAGAAAUCUCCCACGUCGCGCGUGGACCAGGCGUGGGGCGGCGCGGGCGGGGCAG
Molecule: long non-coding RNA, 272 nt
Organism: Manduca sexta (tobacco hornworm)
Lineage: Eukaryota; Metazoa; Arthropoda; Insecta; Lepidoptera; Sphingidae
Exons: 3
Source: RefSeq, a predicted model, not a curated record